This is a long non-coding RNA of Miniopterus natalensis, 673 nucleotides long. RefSeq lists it as uncharacterized. The record is from RefSeq and is a predicted model, not a curated record. NCBI's taxonomy places the organism in Eukaryota, Metazoa, Chordata, Mammalia, Chiroptera, Miniopteridae.
GGGCCGCAGGGACGCGGGGCGCAGGAGCCGCGGCGCAGCCCGGCGCGGAGGAGGGUGACGUUUCCGCCUCGCGCUGAGGAUUCUGGUAACACGGAAACACCGCGAGAGGUGGUCGCCUUCGCGCGAGACCUGCGUCCCGCUGGAGCGACACCUCCGUGGAGGCGGGUUCCCGGGACUGAGGGGCGAGGUUCUGCAGCGAGUGGGAAGUAGCGCGGUUAAAACUCCAGGCCGCUGCUGAAGGUGCCCUGACCUGGAAUCGAACUGGCAACCCUUCGGUGCAGAUGAAGGCCUUCCUUGCUCUCUCCUGGGUCUCCAGCCAGCCAGCCCACCCUGCAGAUUUUUGAUUUGCCAGCCUCCAUAAUCAGAUCUUCACAGGAUAGACUUUGUUGGAAAAUGAAGAUGAACUUGGUCUUUGGCUGGACCGUCGCCUCUGACAAUAGGAGACUGAGGAUUCCUACAGCUCUGUGAUGGGCUGGUGCUCUCGGCGUCCAUCAGCGACCCCGGGACCAGAUCUCCCCGUGCGUUCUCACCUGCUGCGAUCAUUGGGUGGAGGCAAAGGUACUGCCUUUGAGCUUUGCAAUAAGUAUUGAAAGGAUCACCCCUUUCACUUAAUCUUCUGCAAUUAAAAUUGUGCUUUUUAAAAAUCUUGUAGCUUAAUGUCAACAUUCCAAUU